UACGAAGGGUGCUAGCGUUGUUCGGAAUUACUGGGCGUAAAGCGCGCGUAGGCUGCUAUCUAAGUCAGAGGUGAAAUCCUGAGGCUCAACAUCAGAAUUGCCUUUGAAACUAGAUAGCUGGAGUGUCGGAGGGGAUAGCGGAAUUGCUAAUGUAGCGGUGAAAUGCGUAGAUAUUAGCAGGAACACCGGUGGCGAAGGCGGCUAUCUGGACGACAACUGACGCUGAGGCGCGAAAGCGUGGGGAUCAAACAGG
Molecule: ribosomal RNA, 253 nt
Filed under: uncultured bacterium
Lineage: Bacteria
Description: partial 16S ribosomal RNA
Rfam family: Bacterial small subunit ribosomal RNA
Source: RNAcentral